AUCGCUUCUCGCCUUUUGGCUAAGAUCAUGUGUAGUAUCUGUUCUUUUCAGCUUAAUAUCUGAAACGCGACUCACCGAGUCGCUUGUAUAUUAAACUGAUUUUUGAACUUAGGCCAUGGAAUAGGGGCUUGCUCCGUCCUGGCCACGGGUUGGCCCGGUAUUGCAGUACCUCCGGGAUCGGCCCACCCCUC
Lytechinus variegatus (green sea urchin) is the source of this 191-nucleotide small nuclear RNA. RefSeq annotates it as U2 spliceosomal RNA. The transcript has a single exon. The record is from RefSeq and is a predicted model, not a curated record. NCBI's taxonomy places the organism in Eukaryota, Metazoa, Echinodermata, Echinoidea, Temnopleuroida, Toxopneustidae.